This 440-nucleotide ribosomal RNA is filed under the name uncultured bacterium. RNAcentral's name for it is "partial 16S ribosomal RNA". It matches the Rfam family "Bacterial small subunit ribosomal RNA", at positions 338 to 795 of the family's 1533-position model. The record is from RNAcentral.
CCUACGGGAGGCAGCAGUGGGGAAUAUUGCACAAUGGGGGAAACCCUGAUGCAGCGACGCCGCGUGAGCGAUGAAGUAUUUCGGUAUGUAAAGCUCUAUUAGCCGGGAAGAAAAUGACGGUACCUGACUAAGAAGCCCCGGCUAACUACGUGACAGCAGCCGCGGUAAUACGUAGGGGGCAAGCGUUAUCCGGAUUUACUGGGUGGAAAGGGAGAGUAGACGGCUGUGCAAGCCAGAUGUGAAAGCCCGGGGCUCAACCCCGAGACUGCAUUUGUAACUGUGUGGCUGGAGUGUCGGAGAGGCAGGCGGAAUUCCUAGUGUAGCGGUGAAAUGCGUAGAUAUUAGGAGGAACACCAGUGGCGAAGGCGGCCUGCUGGACGAUAACUGACGUUGAGGCUCGAAAGCGUGGGGAGCAAACAGGAUUAGAUACCCGUGUAGUC